AGAGUUUGAUCAUGGCUCAGGACGAACGCUGGCGGCGUGCUUAAUACAUGCAAGUCGAGCGAGGUUACUGCGACAGAUCCCUUCGGGGUGAAGUUGCUUUAGCCUAGCGGCGGACGGGUGAGUAACGCGUGGGUAACCUACCCUAAAGUUCGGGAUAACAGCGGGAAACCGCUGCUAAUACCGGAUGCCUUUACCAUGUGGCAUCACAAGGUAAAGAAAGGUAACGCUUUAGGAUGGGCCCGCGUCCCAUUAGCUAGUUGGUGAGGUAACAGCUCACCAAGGCGACGAUGGGUAGCCGGCCUGAGAGGGUGGACGGCCACACUGGGACUGAGACACGGCCCAGACUCCUACGGGAGGCAGCAGUAGGGAAUAUUGCGCAAUGGACGGAAGUCUGACGCAGCGACGCCGCGUGAGCGAUGAAGGCCUUCGGGUUGUAAAGCUCUGUCCUUGGGGAAGAAGGUCUUCGGACUUGACGGUACCCAAGAAGAAAGCCCCGGCUAACUACGUGCCAGCAGCCGCGGUAAUACGUAGGGGGCGAGCGUUGUCCGGAAUUACUGGGCGUAAAGGGUGCGUAGGCGGCCCUUUAAGUCAGAUGUGAAAGCCCGCAGCUUAACUGCGGAAUUGCAUUUGAAACUGGAGGGCUUGAGUGUCGGAGAGGGUAGUGGAAUUCCCAGUGUAGCGGUGAAAUGCGUAGAUAUUGGGAGGAACACCAGUGGCGAAGGCGACUGCCUGGACGAUAACUGACGCUGAGGCACGAAAGCUAGGGGAGCAAACAGGAUUAGAUACCCUGGUAGUCCUAGCCGUAAACGAUGGGUACUAGGUGUAGGUGGUUUCGAUACCAUCUGUGCCGUAGUUAACGCAUUAAGUACCCCGCCUGGGGAGUACGUGCGCAAGCAUGAAACUCAAAGGAAUUGACGG
This 918-nucleotide ribosomal RNA is filed under the name uncultured bacterium. Its description in RNAcentral is "bacterial SSU rRNA". It matches the Rfam family "Bacterial small subunit ribosomal RNA", at positions 8 to 916 of the family's 1533-position model. The record is from RNAcentral.